RNAcentral lists this long non-coding RNA (2418 nucleotides) under Homo sapiens (human). RNAcentral's name for it is "long non-coding RNA NONHSAT106054.2". Lineage: Eukaryota; Metazoa; Chordata; Mammalia; Primates; Hominidae. The record is from RNAcentral.
CGGAUGUAUUGGCAGGAACAAACAACUCCAGGUGUGUUGCCUUAAGAACUCUAACACUCACCACGGAGGUUUGUAGCUUCACUCGUGAACCAGCGAUACCAUGAACCCCCCAGAAGGCAGAAAUUGCUAACAUAUCUGCAUAUAGGAAGGAACAAACGGGGCGCGCUCCCGCACACGCCGCCUUUAAGAAGCUGCACCAUUCUCUGCAAGGGUCCACUGCUUUAUUCUGUGAGUAAGACUAAGAACCCAGUAAUGGCGGACACGUGGGGAUUCAGAGGAGCGCAGGACGGAUUCUGAAUGCUGUUGCUCGGGAAGCUGAAGAUGUGCACACAGGGCUUCUCCGCAGUAAGGGGCUUGGUCCCUGAACCAUGCUCCGUUUCUUAACUGUUCCCAGGACCCAGCGUCUGUUCACCCCAUGGGGCCACGCCAUUCCAGGAGCCACAGGAAGCCAGCACUGCUAGGUUGACCUCAGUCCUUUAGCCAGGACACAGCUGUGGGCACUAUGCGGUUGCCGCUGGGUUCAAGAUGCGACGGUAUGAGGGAGUUGGGUGGGCCGCUGACUCUGAGAGAAGUCCCGGUGACCUGAACCUAUUCCAGUGAAGCCAGUCAGCAGUGAAUGUGGGGCAAGUGCAUGCGGCUGGUCUACAGCUCCCAUUGCCUGGUGACCAAGGAGCAUCCUGAAGUUUCAGAGAAGAGACUGUGUGACAGCAGCAUUGUUCCAGCUACUGAGCAAGAUCCUUCAGCAGGAGCUCUUCCAGUAACCUGCAGGACGGAGACACUUGUUUUACAGCCCGACAGAUGGGGCGGCCUAGCAACGCAAGAAAACACCAGGGGAGCCAGUGCCCGGCUCUGCCUGGGCUUGCUGUGUGGAGAAGGCAGCUGAAAAGUUCUACCUAUGGAUCCUUAACUCAGCAAAAGAAACACAUCAAAGAAGUUGAUCAAAUAGGAUAUACUGAUAACGUAUUUAUGUUUGUACAGAAACAUCUCCUUCCUAUCCCCUCCCAAGAUUAGAUUCCUCCCUAAUACAGACUGAUGUUUGGGCCUAUUCUUUUUUAGAAAUUCAACUCUAAAAUAAUUUACACACCUUCAAAUUCACUUUUUGUUAGAUGGUUCUAUGAACGCUGGCAAAGCCAUACCGGAGUGUAACAGGCUACAGCACGUGGCAUGGCUGCACCCUUUCCCCUGCUGCCCCUCUAGUCAGCCUCUUCCCUAACCCCAUCUCCCAGCAGCCACUGCUGACUUUCCCUUCCUCUCAUUUUGUAUUAACAGGUAUUAGAGAGUGGGGAGCGAAAGCAGUGAGUUAACCACCAGGGCAAGCAGGGUUAGGGGCUAAUUCCACUAGGCAAAUCGCUUUGCUGCCUGAUAUCGCAAUCUGUUUCCCCAACUGAUGUGAUACAGUCAUCUAAUUUUUUUUCUUUUUUUCAGAUGGAGUUUUGCUCUGUCGCCCAGGCUGGAGUGCAGUGGCGCGAUUUCGGCUCACUGCAACCUCCACCUCCCGGAUUCAAGCAAUUCUCCUGCCUCAGCCUCCUGAGUAGCUGAAACUACAGGUGCCCGCCACCACACCCGGCUAAUUUUUGUAUUUUUAGUAGAGACGGGGUUUUACCAUGUUGGCCAGGAUGGUCUUGAUUUCCUGAAGUCGUGAUCCGCCCACCUCAGCCUCCCAAAGUGCUGGGAUUACAGGCAUGAGCCACUGCGCCCGGCCCAAGUCAUCUAAUUUUUAAAGCUAGGAAGGAUCUUAGAGUUUUCCUGGUUUGGAUGCAGCAACCAAGAACUGGGUUUAACAGUACUGAGGUCAAGAGAUUAUUUCACGGUUUAACAAUGUUCAAUAUUAGAAUGCUAUCCCCACAGCAAAUCUAAAAUAUAGUCCUGACCUGGGGCCAUUUCAGGGUGUGUAUUGUUCGUGACACACUACCUUUUGAGCCCUGUUCCACAUAUGAAACGUAGCAGUGACUGUUUCAAUCUUUUAUCAUAUUUAUUUUAAAGAAAUGAACAGGGUUUGGAACCAAUUCAAAUAGAGGAUGGAAGUUAGAGAAGCAGCAAGAAAAAGGAAGAAAGGGCUGAUUGUGCAGGCACUGUCUGCACAGCUGCCAUGUGCCCACGUGGGAUGCGUGCGGGGCGGGGCGGCGAUGCCCCCGGGGACUGAUGGUGGAAGGGCUGGUCUGCUGCCUGCUCUGUGCGUCGAUGCCAUGUGACAGCUCCCCCCCAUGGCCCAGCCUAUGUGAUCUCUCUGCCCUGCACUGAGUCUGCACUGCAUUCACGGUGCCAGCAUUUCAGUCAGUGCACCACAUGUGCCUGUCUAUGGGCCCGGCAGCCACGUGCAGGGCGGGUGGUGAAGGAAUGAAGACUGCCUCAGCUCGGGGGAGCCUGGGCAUUUAUGAAAUUUACCUGGCCUAGAUUUUCUCUUAGGUCCGUUUCCUG